This 958-nucleotide long non-coding RNA is filed under the name Lupinus angustifolius (narrow-leaved blue lupine). RNAcentral describes it as "long non-coding RNA (LANG_LNC002421)". The record is from RNAcentral. Lineage: Eukaryota; Viridiplantae; Streptophyta; Magnoliopsida; Fabales; Fabaceae.
UCACUUUGAUUCAACCUCACUCUCACGGUCUCACCCUCCUCACUCUCACGGUCCCACCCUCCUCACGCUCACCCUCACUCUCACUCUCACCCUCAACCUCACUCUCAUUGAAAGUCUCACUUUGGUGUUCCUCUUCACUAUCUAAUCUAUCACAAUGAACCUGGUUUAGGGUUUGAUGUGAGACUAUGUUUGAUUUUUAGUUUGAUUUGUGGUUUUGUUCUAUUUGAUACCUUGUUUGAUUUGAGGUUAUUUUUUAUUUACGGUUCUAUUUGAUUUGGGGUUUUGUUUCUAUUUAGAUUUCUCACUUCCAUAUUUUUGAUUCUAUUACCAGAUAGGUUUGCUAAAUUGGUUUGCCAAGCUUGCUCAGAUGAGGAACAAUGGUAGAGGUGGUGCAACUGUUGUUGGAGUUUUUAUUCUAAAACAUUAUCCAUCUUCAACGUCUCUGAUUCCUAUUUCAUUCUUUUUUGGAGCUUUCUAUUUUAAUUUAAGAUUUGAAGCUUGUUAGCAUUAUCCAUCAAUCUUAAUCAUUACAUGCAUGCUCUAUUUUGUUCAAAUUUUUCUUACCUAUUAUUUUUAGAUUUCUGAGGUAUAUGCAAUAGCAUAAUGAGGCAAUUGCUCAAUCUUUUCUAGAAUACCUGCAAGUUCAAUCUUUAGGACAAUAUAUUUUUACUUCCAUGAAGCCAUUCUACUAAUUAUAAAUUGCCUUUAAUUUUCUUAAAUGACCACUUCAAGUGGUUAUUGAUCCUUUAUAGUAUUUUUUAUUGGAAGUUCUUAUGUCUCCAUUGGACCUCUUUGAUUUAUGCAUUACAUCAUUUAAGCAUUAUGUUCCAGACACUUCAAAAUUUGGUUGUUAAGAAUAUGCGGAAACCAGCUACUGAAGUGUUUCAACCCCAAUAAGUUGUUGAAGUGUUUUAGUGUUUCAUUAUUUUUCUCUCUUCCUUAUUUCUCCCCCAUCCUA